GAUUAAUACCGGAUAGUAUACGAAUAUCGCAUGAUAUUUUUAUUAAAGAAUUUCGGUUAUCGAUGGGGAUGCGUUCCAUUAGUUUGUUGGCGGGGUAACGGCCCACCAAGACUACGAUGGAUAGGGGUUCUGAGAGGAAGGUCCCCCACAUUGGAACUGAGACACGGUCCAAACUCCUACGGGAGGCAGCAGUGAGGAAUAUUGGUCAAUGGGCGAGAGCCUGAACCAGCCAAGUAGCGUGAAGGAUGAAGGCUCUAUGGGUCGUAAACUUCUUUUAUAUGGGAAUAAAGUUUUCCACGUGUGGAAUUUUGUAUGUACCAUAUGAAUAAGGAUCGGCUAACUCCGUGCCAGCAGCCGCGGUAAUACGGAGGAUCCGAGCGUUAUCCGGAUUUAUUGGGUUUAAAGGGAGCGUAGGUGGAUUGUUAAGUCAGUUGUGAAAGUUUGCGGCUCAACCGUAAAAUUGCAGUUGAAACUGGCAGUCUUGAGUACAGUAGAGGUGGGCGGAAUUCGUGGUGUAGCGGUGAAAUGCUUAGAUAUCACGAAGAACUCCGAUUGCGAAGGCAGCUCACUAGACUGUCACUGACACUGAUGCUCGAAAGUGUGGGUAUCAAACAGGAUUAGAUACCCUGGUAGUCCACACAGUAAACGAUGAAUACUCGCUGUUUGCGAUAUACAGUAAGCGGCCAAGCGAAAGCAUUAAGUAUUCCACCUGGGGAGUACGCCGGCAACGGUGAAACUCAAAGGA
RNAcentral lists this ribosomal RNA (745 nucleotides) under Bacteroides sp. RNAcentral's name for it is "bacterial SSU rRNA". It matches the Rfam family "Bacterial small subunit ribosomal RNA", at positions 161 to 908 of the family's 1533-position model. The record is from RNAcentral. Lineage: Bacteria; Pseudomonadati; Bacteroidota; Bacteroidia; Bacteroidales; Bacteroidaceae.